This 40791-nucleotide long non-coding RNA is filed under the name Eucalyptus grandis. Its description in RNAcentral is "long non-coding RNA (EGRA_LNC002863)". The record is from RNAcentral. Lineage: Eukaryota; Viridiplantae; Streptophyta; Magnoliopsida; Myrtales; Myrtaceae.
CAAGGCAUAAGCGCCGGCAGUGAUGGCACCGAGCUCACCAAGCUGCUGGAGGUGCUUGUGGUGCUUCUCCUCCUUCCUAUAAUCGACCGUAGGCUCUGUGAAGACGACCCCAGGCUCCAUGAAGGCAUCAUCCUUCUUGUGGUGGCUGUGGUGGUGGUUGUGGUGGUGGUGAUGGUGGUGUCCUUCUGCCAUGGUUGGUGGUUGUUUUUUUGAGGACUACUAGAAUUGACGAAGGAUCAGGGAAAGGACAAUAGCUGAAGUGUAUGGUAUGCGUUAUGAGACCGUUCGGGAGGGAGGGGCGUAUUUAUAGGGAAAGUUAGCACACGCAAAGUCUCGCAUCCAAUCGGGCCAACGCGGGAGGCCUUAAACGCGUGAUGGACGGUCAGGAUUGGUUGGUCUGGUUCUGCUCGAUGCAUUUUUAUCUUCUUUCGAUAAAGCAGUUGUUUGUAUGUCAAAAAAAAAAGAAGGGAUUUUUGGGAGGACAAAUUUAUUAGAGAACAAUGCUCUAACAAUACCAUAUACUUGACAAUUGUUUUUAUCGUUUCCCUUUGAUUUCUCGGAUGAUAAUUUCUUCCAGUCUUAAGCUUGAAUUGCAAGAUUUGUUUAAUAAUGUAAUUGUAGGGGUCCAAAGUCUAAGAUGAGACUUUCUGGUGGAGGUGGGUCAUUUUAACUUAUUGAUUAAGGAAUCGUGUCACAUGAAUAUGCUCUAUGGGUCAUCCCAUGAUUUCAUACUGACUUGUUUUUGCAAAAAUGAUCAUCUCUUUUUUGAUACUUUAAGAAUAAGAGAACACAUUAAUUUUUCCAUCAUUGUACUUCCGUUUUUUUUUUCUCCUUUUCCUAUUAUACUCUUAGAUUGUUUGUAAGAGGCAUGGCAUUAUAUCCCUAUUAAUUUUCAAGGGAUGAAACCCGAAUAUAAUUAGAUAGCAUAACUAGAUCGUAUAUGCUCGAUCAAUGCAUUUGCUAACGCCUUGUCUACUUAUACUACCAUGUGGAAUAGUAAAAAAAAAACUGCUCCUAGUGUAUGUAAUGACAUUACAUGAUCUUGAGGCACGAUGGAUAGUCUCGUUUUGAUUCUACUUGACCGACAAUGCUGAAUCAGCUCAAAUAUUCGUUUGUGCCAUAUAACACCUCGGGGAUGGUUAGUAGCUCCCUCGAAUGUGAACAAUUUUAUGCCCUUUCUUCUUGAGAUUAUUAGAUGCCGGCACCAUUGACUUUAUUUUAGUUAUUUAAUUUAGUGGAACCCCUUCAUUUUAGAAUUGGCUAACACGCGUAUAUACAUAUAAAAUCAAUGGGGUAGAUAGUAUCUGGUGUUGAUUGAAAGGUGGACAUCAAUAAAACAUAUAUAAAUGAAUAAAUAAGGACGUGCGGACCUUUCGAGUGCCACAACUUUGGCCAAAGGGACACUUAAGUGCCAUAACUUACGAAAGGUACACUUAAGUGCCAAAAUCGAAGUAAAAUGGAUCACUUGAGUGCCAAUCCGGCCAAAAUCCGGCCAAAAUGCUGACGUGGCAUUUUUCCGGCGAAGCGCGACCAAAACGACGCCGUUUUGCAUGCUGACGUGGCCAAAAUGGCGUUGUUUUGGGUUGACGUGGAAAAAAAUAAAUAAAUUAAUAAAUUAAUUAAAUUUAAAAUUAAAUUUAGUUAAAAUAUUAAAAAAUAAUAAUUUUAAAAUUAAAUUUAGUUAAAUAUUAAAUAAUUAAUUAAAAAAAUUUAAAAAAAGUUUUAAAAAAAUUUAAAACACUUUAAAAAAAUUUUAAAUUUUUUUUAAAAAAAAGGCAAGGGGGGGGGGGGGGGAGGCGGCUGAGGGAUCAGCCCUCAGCCGCCGCCGUCGCUACCCUGCUGUCGCUGGGAAGGGCCCGCGACGGCGGGGCGGCAGCGGUGGCGGCUGAGAGCCUCCCCCUGUUCCCUUUUUUUUUUAAUUUUUUUAAAGUUUUUUAAAGUUUUUAAAAAUUUUAAAUUAUUAUUUUUUAAUAUUUUUUAAUAUUUAACUAAAUUUAAUUAAUUAAUUAUUUAUUUAUUUAUUUUUUUACCACGUCAGCACAAAACGACGCCGUUUUUGCUUUAUUUCGUCACGUCAGCGUGCAAAACAGUGUCGUUUUGGGCGUGCUUCGCCGGAGAAAUGCCACGUCGGCGUUUUGGCCGGACUUUAGCCGGAGUGGCACUCAAGUGAUCCGUUUUUCUUCGAAUGUGGCACUUAAGUGUACAUUUCGUAAGUUAUGGCACUUAAGUGUCCCUUUGGCCAAAGUUAUGGCACUUGAAGCGUUCUUUUGCCAAUAAAUAAGUAAAAUUAAAAAUCCAAAGACUACAUCGCACAUUGCACAUUGUCCAAAGCAUCCAAGUACUAACACUCUUUGCCUAUGAUUUGAAAGUAGGCCGUACAUCUUUAUUUCCAGUGGUAAAUAUCAAAGCUCGUUUGAGAUGAUGCCCUUUUUGGCCUUGGUUCUCUUAUACUUUGAAUGCAUGUCUCCACCCAUAUACACUUUGAAAAACAAUCGUAUCAGUUUUGAUUUGAAGAACAUUCUCUUCUUUGACUUUCCAUUGUUUCUAUAGGAUUCCAAACACCAUUCUCUACGACCAAAAUCAAUAAAAAAAAAAAUCAAGAAAGAACCGAAAUUCAAGCGCAACCCGAAGAUCUCCGGAAGCUUUGAAGGCGGCCGUGGAGGAAAGGCAAUUGGCUAUGGCUCGCCUCAGCAGCUCGAGCAGCUUCUUCAUUGAGGAAGAUCUCAACCUCGAAACGCCACAAAGCGAUUGGUCCCGUUAUCGCUGGUGCCGAAUUGCUGGUGUCUCGAGAUGCUCUAAUAUGGUCGUAUGAUGCAUGGUUGAAAGCCCGACGUGUCCAGCUUCGAUGAAUCAAGUUUUUCUACAAAUUGAAAGUCCUUUGAAGGAAAUUAUGCCCGAAGUGCUAAGAGGAGGAAAUCUGGGAUAUUGUUAAGUUUCGGUAUAGUACGAUGCAGGCCACGCUGGUGGUAUGGCCAGGCACGAGCAGGCUAUCGGCACGCAUGGUCGAGCUGGCGGCUGGUUUCAUGAAUUUAUGGGCAUGAAUACUACUAAUAUAAUGAUUUUAGGUUCUUGUUUCAAAUCAAUUUUACAAAGUACAAUCGCAUUAUAAAGAAAAAUAAUCUAAAAAGUCAUAAAUCUAUUGCAUUUUGACCGAUUCAAUUAUAAUCCUUUCAAUUAUAUCAAAUGAGUCCUAAACAUUUUCACGUGUUAUCAAUUGAGUUUAUCUGACUAAUUUAAUUCAAAAAUCACUGAUGUGGACACUAGUAGUGUUACAUAGGAUGGCUAGGAUAGACGUGAAAAUUUUUUUAUAAUUUUUUUCUUUGUUUAUUUUUUUUUACUACCAAGUCUAACAAGGAUCGCCAUGUAACCCUUGCCAGCUGAAAGGCAAGGGCUGGGCAACCCUUGUUAGUGACUGGGUGAGGGCUGUGAUGAUUGAGGGCUUCAUGGUUGGCAAGGGUUAGCCAGCAGCUCUUUUGCAAGGCUUGGAAAGAAAGAAAGAAAGAAAGAAAGAAAGAAAGAAAGAAAGAAAGAAAGAAAGCUGAUCGAUUAAUACAUAUGCAUGGAUGGCAGUGUAAAUUAUGCAAAACCAAGAGGCUGUUUAAUUUGACGUUCACCAAAUUAGUCCUAUUCAAAUUUCUUUUUCACCGAAAUAAAAGAACCUUCCAAUAUCUUAUAAAAACUUUGCAAAGAUUUGAGGUGACGUAUGGUGACAUGAAGAUUUUUCUAAAAAAAUUAAACGCGUUUUGACAUUAUAAUUCCAUGUUUUUGUGUCUUCUAUGGUUUUAUCAGGGGCACAUAUGACCCAGUGCACUCCUCUUGAAGUCGCGUAUCGGUUUUUGGUGCCUUCGCGUUCGCCCCUAAAAUGCAUACUCGGAUGAUGGCGGGUCUUCGCCGCGUCGGCGACUUCGUCUUUGUCAACAAAACCAAAAUGAACGCUCCGACGAUGGCGUGUCUUCGCCUCAUCCGCCCUAACGUGUCGUCCAUACCGUGUGAUAAUGCUCUCAUCGUCGCGAGAAUUCAGCCAGCAUCGACUUCUUCACAUAAUCCCAAGAUGCAGCAGCAUGACACGACGAAAUCCUUGCGUGGAGCAGCCUUGUCCGGCAUUGCAUAGCCGGAGUACCGCCUGACGCACUUGUCGAAUCGGAAAGCUAAUGGGAUCUACACAUAAGAAAACGUUCGAUCAUCUGUCGCAUCCUAGCGGGAGAAGACUAAAUCCGAUCAAGCCAUGAGAGUAUAGAGUUUAUGUAGCUACGCAAAAUUGCAAGAUUUUGAAAUACAAAGCUCCUUUUUCCAUGACCUAAUGAUAGAGUUGUCUUGCAUGGAGGCACAUGGCCUAUUGCUGCGUCAGCGAUCUUCGAUGAAAAAAUCAAAGGAUUAUAUUAAAAUUUUCUGUAAAGACUUAAGAUUAAAUUAGCAAAAAAUUAAAAGUUUUAGAACUUAUCUGACUUCCAUACAAAAUAUUUAGGUGUAAUUAAGUAAUUUUCUAGGUUCAUUUGAGACAAAUUGAUGGUUAUAAUUGUAAUUGGUCAUUAGCAACAGAUUGAUACGUCUAGUGAAGGAAAGGAGGUCUCUUCGGAGACAUUCGAUAUAAAAAAGGAAAGGAGAAUUUUGAGACGAAAAGGGAGAUUAAUUGGAGGAGGAACUUUCCUUUUUUGGGCUUUUGGAGGCCCACUGGCAAAGCCCUGCUGGCCCAACAGCCACCGGUCAAGUAGAUGGGCCUAGAGUUUGGACCUUUGGGCCCAUAUAAUUCGAUUUGGGCCGAGCCUUUUACCAGGCCAUCUCGAGAGAAGAUGGGCUUGAUCAACAAAGCCCAACCCAAACUAGCAUAAUUGCCACCCCUUCCUCAUUAUGUAAGUCGAUAAAUUAGGUAAGUACGGAAUCAUCUAAUUUAGUGAAAAUUCAACCAUUAACUUUAUUUUUUUAUUUUUUAUUUUUGGCUGAAGUUUUUGGAUCUAUAUUAUUAAACCAAAAGUGUCAGUUAUAUUCCUACGAGAAUCCCUCCAAGGCCCGUAGUUUGGGCCUUAGGGCCCAAAUAAGUUGAUUGUGCCAAGCCGACCCAGCCCAGCCCAAUUACCACCCCCUCCUCAUUAUGUAAGUCGAUAUAUUAGGUAAGCACGGAAUCACCUAAUUCAAUGAAAAUCCAACCAUUAACUUUAUUACUCUUAUUUAUUUUUUUUGGGCUAAAGUUAUUAGAUCUAUAUUAUUAAAGCAAAAUUGUCAUUUAUAUUCCUACGAGAAUCCCUCCGAGGCCCAGAGUUUGGGCCUUAGGGCCCAAAUAAGUUGAUUGUGCCAGCCCGAUCAGGCCUGGCCCAGUUGCCACCCUUCCUUAUUAUGUAGUCGAUAUAUUAGGUACGAGUGGAAUCAUCCGAUUUAGUAAAAAUUUAACCAUUAACUUUAUUAUUAUUUUUUUGCUAAUUUUUUUUGGAUCUAGAUUUUUAAACCAAAAGUGUCAAAUAUUAUUUAUAUAUUGAAAUAUAUUUUAAUUUUGUUAAUUUUUUUGGUUGAAUAAUUUUAAUUUGUUAAUUUUUUUAAUUCAAGAAGUUUAGUUUCCGAUAAAAAUAAUUUUCUUAAUAUUAUAAAUUAUAUUCACCUUUAUUCCACACUCCGAUGACAUAAUUUUAUUCAGUCUAUAUUCUCCUUAUAUCUGACUUUAUCCUAUUUUUAGCACACAUCAAACGAAAAAUAAGAUAAAUUUUAUUAUAUCUUGAAUUUUAUCAUAAUUGCCAAAUGCAAUCAAGUUUUUUCUAUCUAUUGUAUUUUUUGCAUCAAAUUCUUAGUGGUAGGUCUCAUUAACGCUUUUCCUAGAUUCGCUUGAGGCACAUUUGUAACACAUGUUCAUUGUGUAGCUAUUAAUGUUAUGUUGAUGACAUUUUCUACAAAGCAACUUCAAGCAUAACUUGCUUUUUGGUUACAUGGUUCUUUCCAAUUUUCCCUUAUUUGUUUCAUUUUUUUGUUAAUCAUCAUGUUAAUAUCUUGAUUUGUUUUAACAAAUUUGACAGAUAAAGAGCCUCUUGGGAACAAAGGUUGAGUGGAUGUACUAUAUUCUCAAGGCAUUUUUUUGUGUUUUCAGUUUCCUCAACUAAGCACUAUAGGCUCGUCGAUAUUAAAUGGUGGUGGACAAAAUGAAAAAAAGUGUAGGAACUUCAAUGGUUGCUUUUCUAGGCCCCUGAGGAAGUUGAAAUAGCAUCAAUUCUUCAAGAUUGAUGGUUGCAACUCUUCAAAGAUGUAGGCUUUAAAAGCCCCGACUCUUCAAGGACAAAGUGGAAACUCUUCUAGGUUUUCAAGGGAUUUGAACUCUUUAAGGUUCAAGAGAGUUACACUAAGCAAAUUUCAUUAAUCAAAUUCGGUCUAUAAUUUAUAGAGACUCAUUGACCUUUUAUAUCAAAACAAAAGAAGAGUAAGAGGCUAGACUCAAACAUAGAAACUAAUAGUCAUUAAUGUACGUAGAAACUAGAAGCUAUUAAAAUUGAAACAAGAUUUACCAAUGCUUUUGCUCGCCACAUAGUGCCUUGAUGCAAGUUUUAAUGUUUGAGAAACGACAAAAUCUUAGAGUGUCGUUGAUAUUGAAUGCAUGCUAAUCUUCUUGGUUGAACAAGUUGGUCUUGAAUAUGGGCUAAAUCAAAGAGAGAGAGAAAGGAGCUAUUUCCCUCCAAUGACGAUAAUUUUAUCGACAACUUCUAUAUGAUGUAAGAGAUAUAACUUUUGUGGAAUUAAAGGCACUUUAUUGAACCUUUUUUAGAAUAUAUAAAUGGGCCAGCCAUCAUAUAUCGCUGGGAAAAGUGUUAAAAAAAUCUUAAAUCUUUUGUAUUUGUGCCAAUUUAGUCCUAAACAUUUUUUUUUGGUGCCAAUUUAGUCUUAAACAUUUCUUUUGGUGCCAAUUUAGUUCUAAACAUUUUUACUUAGUGCCGAUUUAGUCAUUUCCGGCCAAUUUUGGCCGGAUUUUGCUGACUGGACGCCGGCUGGCUAACAUGGCCUGAUUGGUGCUAACGUGGACAACUUUUAAUAAUAUUUUAAUAUUUUUGAAUUUUAUUAUUUUUCUUUUUAUUAUUACUUUCUUUUUUCUAUUUUCCUUCCCCACCUCCAGUCGAUCGCUAGACCUCGGUAAUCGGCAAGAGGCAAUGGCUGGCGAGGCCGACCUCAUCGGCCACCUCGCCAAUGGCCACGAGGGCGGCCUCGUGUUGGGUGGCAAGGCUCGCCCUCACUGAAUCUGGCGAGGGUCGAGCCUUGCCCAUGGCUAGCGAGGCUUGACCUCACUAGCGCUGCCCAGAUUCAACGAGGGCGAGCCUCACCAGCGCCGCCUAGGCCGCGAUUCGGCGAGGUCGAGCCUCGCCAGCCCAGAACUAGGUCGCCAAAUUCGGCAAGGUCGACCUCGCCAUUCACUGAGGUCCAGCGACCGGCUGGAGGAGGGGAAGGAAAAAAGAAAAAGAAAAGAAAAAUAUUUAAAAAUAUUUAAAAAUAUUAAAAUAUAAUUAAAAGUUGUCCACAUCAACACUGAUCAUGCUACGUCAACUGGCUAGCAUCCAGUCAGCAAAAUCUAGCCAAAAUUGGCCGGAAAUGAUUGAAUCAACACCAAAUAAAAAUGUUUAGGACUAAAUUGACAGAAAUACAAAAGGUUUAUGACUUUUUUUUAACACUUUUCCAUAUAUCGCUUGAUCUGGGACAAUAUAGAUUAUUAAUUAUGUCAUUUUGUGAGUUUAUUUCAAACUGAAUCGCAAUUAAUUGACUUAGCCAUAUUUGAAAUACUAACUUGGAAAAAAUCACGAUAAUGGAUGAUGAUAAAGACAUGCACCUAGCACAUAGAUCCCACCAAAUUAGUAGAAAAUGUUAAUGUGCUUAGUGAGGUCACGAUGAAGAUAUCGCAAUAUACUAUUAUUAGAUAAAUUUGCUAAUUUGUACGUGUCCUCAUGGGAGGACUCAAAAACAUCAAUUCUAAGAAACUCUUAUAUACUUUUAUGUCAUGUACAGCUUUUUUAAGUACUUUUUGAAUUAUAAUUAUAUAUAACAUUGCGAUCAAGUGAUUUUUUUGAAUUUGACGCCAUCGCGUUUUAGUUAAUUGACAUUGACUAACCGGGUGUGGAUCCAUCCUAUGCGAAGACUGUGUGCUAACUGGUUUUGGAAAAUAAUAUUCAAUAUAAUCAUUGUACCUAAAACAAUAUGUGGACAUGUAAACGCAAGAAAUCAGAUCAUCAGAACACCCAAGAUACGACCUGUACAAGACAAAGCCCAAACACACCCAUGCUCAUCCUCUCAGGGAAGCAUUCACAAGCAGCAGAAUUCAAGAUUCAAGAACCACCCUCCGCAAAUGUACAGCGACUAUUGAAGGCAGUCUCUAAGGAAAUAAAAUUACAUAAACAAGACAGAUAGCAGCAAAAAGAGACGGCGAUCCUCCAUGGUUUAGAAGUGAUGGUGGUGCUUCUUGCCAUGAUGAGACUCUUCAUAAUUUUUCUUGGCCUCCUUUUUCUCGUGGUGCUCGUGGAAGGCGAACCCGACAGCCCCAACGGCAGCGGCGGCAGCUAUUUCCUCCUCUAUCUUGUGCCGGUGAGCGUGCUCCGGGUCCUUCUUGGCCUUAUGCUUCUCAUGCUGCAAUUUGCACAUCAUUAAUCAGGAAUUGCGUGCACGAAACAAAAUGAGUUAAGGUAAAGAGGAAAGGAAAAACAAGUUCUCUAUUAUGUAUACUUUUUUUUUAUACAAGCUCUGAGCAUGGGAUAAGUUCGAGAAAAAAAAAUUAAUUUAGUCACUUUGAAAAGAAGUAUUUGAUCAUGUAAAUAGUGCUAUGGAUUACAACUAUGUCUUUUGUUUAAGCCAAUUGUAGGGAAAUCUUAUUCCUCUAGCUGAUGGGUGAAGGAAAUAAGUUAAAUUCAAACUAUUGUUCAUUUAUAAGGAUGAUCCAAUCUUGCAUGGUAUGCCAUUAUCAUGUCGAGUUGAAAUAUGUCAGUUUAAUCGAGAUCUUUUGCAUCCAAUUCUCGUGAGUAAUUUGAUGAUUCAAGUUAAUAAGGUAAAGAUGCAAAUUUUUUUAUCUAAAUUAUAAAAUGGGAAAAGAAUUUCAAGAAUCGAAAAGAAGAUGAUAAUUAUUACCAAGGCAUAAGCACCGGCAGCAACGGCACCAACCUCGCCAAGCUGCUGGAGGUGCUUGUGGUGCUUCUCCUCCUUCCUGUAAUCGACUGUAGGCUCCGUGAAGACGACCCCAGGCUCCAUGAUGGCAUCAUCCUUCUUGUGGUGGCUGUGGUGAUGGUUGUGGUGGUGGUGAUGGUGGUGUCCUUCGGCCAUGGUUGGUGGUUGUUUUUUUGAGGAAUACUAGAAUUGACGAAGAAUCAGGGAAAGGACUAUAGCUGAAGUGUAUGGUAUGCGUUGUGAGACCGUUAGAGAGGGAGGGGCGUAUUUAUAGGGAAAGUUGGCACAUGCAAAGUCUUGCAUCCAAUCGGGCCAACGCGGGAGGCCUUAAACGCGUGAUGGACGGUCGGGAUUGCUUAGUCUGGUUCUUCUCGAUGCAUUUUUUUUUUUUAUCUUCUUUCGAUAAAGCAGUGUUUGUAUGUCAAACAAAAAAAUAAUAAAUUAAGGGAUGAUUUUUUUUUGGGGGGGGGGGGGGGGAGAGGUUCUAGUUAAGGGAUUUUUGUGUGGACAAAUUUAUUAGAGAACAAUGCUCUAACAAUACCAUAUACUUGACAAUGAUGUUUUUAUCGUUUUCCUUUGAUUUCUCCGAUGAUGAAUUGCAAUAUUUGUUUAAUAAUGUAAUUGUAGGGGUCCAAAGUCUAAGAUGAGACUUUCCUGGUGGAGGUGGGUGGUUUUAACUUAUUGAUUAAGGAAUCGCAUCACAUGAAUGUGCUCUAUGGGUUGUCCCGUGGUUUCAUACCGACUUGUUUUUGCAAAAGUGAUCGUCUCUUUUUAGAUGCUUUAAGAAUAAGAGAAAACAUUAAUUUUUCCAUCACUAUACUUCCAUUUUUUUUUUUCUUUUCUUUUCCUGCUAUACUCUUAGAUUGUCUGUAAGAGGCAUGGCGUUAUAUCCCUAUUAAUUUUCAAGGGACCAAACCCAAAUUUAAUUAGAUAGCAGUACUAGUUUGUAUAUGCUCCCAUCAAUGCAUUUGUUGACACCUUGUCUACUUAUACUUACAUGUGGAGUAGUAAAAAAGAAUGCUCCUAGUGUAUGUAAUGACAUUCCAUGAUGUUGAGGAACGAUGGAUAGUCUCGUUUCGAUUCUACUUGACAGACAAAGCUAAAUCAGCUCAAUUAUUCGUCUGUGCCAUAUAACACCCCGGGGAUGGUUAGUAACUCCCUCGAAUGUGCACAAUUUUAUGCUCUUUCUUCUUGGGAUUAUUAUAUGCCGGCACUAUUGACUUUAUUUUUGAAUUGGCUGACACCUAUAUACAUAUAAAAUCAAUGGGGUAGAUAUUAUCUAGUAGUGACUAGAAGGUGGACAUCAAUAAGACAUACAUAAAUGAAUAAAUAAGUAAAAUAAAAAAUCCAAGGACUCCCUCGCACAUUGUGCAUUGUCCAAAGCAUCCAAGUACUAACACUCUUUGUCUAUUAUUUGAAAGCAGGCUAUACAUCUUUAUUUCCAAUGGUAAAUAUCAAAGCUCGUUUGAGAUGAUGCCUUUUUGGCCUUGGUUUUCUUGCAUUUUGAAUGCAUGUCUCCACGCAUAUAUACUUUGAAUAACAGUAGUAUCAGUUAUGAUUUGAAGAACAUUCUCUUCUUUGACUUUCCAUUGUUUCUAUAGGAUUUCAAAUACCAUUCUCUACGACCAAAAUCAAGACUGGGCAUGUUCUAACCAGGUUGGCAAGACCAAUAAAAAAAACAGAGAAAGAACCGAAAUUCAAGCGCAACCCGAAGAUCUCCGGAAGCUUCGAAGGCGGCCGUGGAGGAAAGGCAAUUGGCUAUGGCUCGCUCAGCAGCUCGGGCAGCUUCUUCAUUGAGGAAGAUCUCGACUUGGAAACGCCCCAAAGCGACUGGUCCCGUUAUUGCCGGCGCGGAAUUGCCGGUGUCUCGAAAUGCUCUAAUAUGGUCAUAUGAUGCAUGGUUGAAAGCUCGACAUGUCUAGCUUUGAUGAAUCAAGUUUUCCUGCAAUUUAGAAGUCCUUUGAAGGAAAUUAUGCCCGAAGUACUAAGAGGAGGAAAUCUGGGAUAUUGUUAAGUUUCAGUAUAGUAUGAUGCAGGCCGCGCGGGUGGUAUGGCCAUGCACGAGCCGGCCAUGUCGCGGGUUGGUUGCAUGAAUUAUGGGCAUGAAUGCUAUCUUUUUGUACUGAAAUAACAAAGAUAAUGAUUUCAAAUUCUUGUUUCAAAUCAAAUUUUACCACAUUAUGAAAAAAAAAAAUCAUCCAAAAAGUCCAUAAAUCUCUAUAUUUAACCAAUUCAAUUCUAAUCAUUUCAAUUGUGUCAAUUGAGUUCUAAACAUUUUCACGUGUGGCAAAUUGAGUUUUACCUGACUAAGUUUAAUUGGAAAUCACUGACGUGGAUAUCAGUAGUGUUACAUAGGACAGUUGAGGUUGAUGUGACCAAUUUUUUCUUAUGAUUUUUCUUCUUUGUUUUUUUUUUCUUACCAAGUACAACAAGGAUUGCCAACUAAUCCUUGCCAACUGAAAGGCAAGGGCUGGGCGACCCUUGUUGGCGACUGGGUGAAGGCACUGAUGAUUGAGGGCUUCAUGGCUGGCAAGGGUUGGCCAGCGGCUCUUUUGCUAGGCUUGGAAGGAAAAAAGAAAGAAAGAAAGAAAGAAAGAAAGAAAGCUGAUCAAUUAAUACAUAUACAACGAUGCUGUGUGUGCAUUAUGCAAAACCGAGAGACUGUUUAGUUUGAUGUUCACCAAAUUAGUCAUAUUUAAAUUUCCUUUUCACCGAAAUAAAAGAACCUUCCAAUAUCUUAUAAAAACUUUGCAAAGAUUUGAGGUGAGGUAUGGUGACAUGAAGAUUUUUCUAAAAGAAUUAAACGCGUUUUGACAUUAUGAUUCCAUGUUUUUGUGUCUUCUAUGGUUUUACCAGGGGCACAUAUGGCCCAAUGCAGUCCUCCUGAAGUCGCGUGUCGGUUUUUGGUGCCUUCGCGUUCGCCCCUAAAAUGCAUACUCGGAUGACGGCGGGUCUUCGCCGCGUCGGCGACUUCGUCUUUGUGAACAAAACCAAAAUGAACGCUUCGACGAUGGCGUGUCUUCGCCUCAUCCGCCUUAACGCGUCGUCCAUACCGUGUGAUAAUGCUCUCAUCGUCACGAGGAUUUGGCCAGUAUCGACUUCUUCACCUAUUCCCAAGUUGCAGCAGCAUGACACGACGAAAUCCUUGCGUGGAGCAGCCUUGUCCGGCAUCGCAUGGCUAGAGUACCGCCUGACGUACGCGUCGAAUCGAAAUCUAAUGGGAUCUACACAUCAUCGCGAGAAAACGUUCGAUCAUCUGUCGCAUCCUAGCAGGAGAAGACUAAAUCCGAUCGAGCCACGAGAGUAUAGAAUUUAUGUAGCUACGCAAAAUUGCAGGAUUUUGAAAUACAAAGCUCUUUUUUCCAUGACCUAAUGAUAGAGUUGUCUUGCGUGGCGGCACGUGGCUUGUAUCAUGGCAGCGAUCUCCGAUAAAAAUUAAUUAGAAGGAUUAUAUUAAAAUUUUAUAUAAAGACUUACGAUUAAAUUAGCAAAACUUUAAAAAAAUUUAGGGCUGAUUUGACUUCAAUACAAUAUAUUUAGGUGCAAUUAAGUAAUUUUCCAGGUUCAUUUGAGACAAAUUGAUGGUUAUCGUUGUAAUUGUUCAUUAGCAACGGAUCGAGAGAAUUUUGAGAAGGAAAGGGAGAUUAAUUGGAGGAACUUUCCUUUUUUUUUGCUUUUGGGGGCCCACUGGCAAAGCCCCCCGGCCCAAAGGCCACCAGUCAAGUGGAUGGGCCCAGAGUUUGGACAUUCAGGCCCAUAUAAUUCGAUUUGGGCCGAGCCUUUUACCAGGUCAUCUCGAGAGAAGAUGGGCCUGAUUGACACAGCUCGAUCGGUCCCAGCCCAAUUGCCACCCCUCCUCCAAUAAAAAUUCAACCACUAACUUUAUUAUUAUUAUUUUUUGGGCUGAAGUUAUUGGAUCUAUAUUAUUAAAUCCAAAGUGUCAUAUAUAUUCCUACCAGAAUCCCUUUGAGGCCCGGAGUUUGGGCUUUAGGGCCCAAAUAAGUUGACUAUGCUGGGCCUACCCGGCCUAGCCCAAUUGCCACCCCUUCUCAUUAUGUGAGUCGAUAUAUUAGGUAAACACAGAAUCACCCAAUUCAGUGAAAAUUCAACUAUUAGCUUUAUUGUUAUUGUUAUUAUUAUUAUUAUUAUUAGGCUUUAGGGCCCAAAUAAGUUGACUAUGCUGGGCCUACCCGGCCUAGCCCAAUUGCCACCCCAACCCCUCACCUCCCCCUUCCAUGUUGGAAGGGUGGCCACUGGGGCGAACCCCCAGUGGUUUAUUAGCUUUAUUGUUAUUGUUAUUAUUAUUAUUAUUAUUAUUAUUAUUAUUAUUAUUUGGGCUGAAGUCAUCAGAUCAAUAUUAUUAACUCCAAAGUGUCAUUUUAUAUUCCUACGAGAAUCCUGGGCCUUAGGGCCCAAAUAAGUUGAUUGUGCCAGCCCGACCAGGCCCGGCCCAAUUGCCACCCUUCUUCAUUAUGUAGUCAAUAUAUUAUAUAUGAGUGGAAUCAUCCAAUUUAGUAAAAUUUAACCAUUAACUUUAUCUUAGUUUUCGCUAAUUUUUUUGGAUCUAGAUUAUCAAACCAAAAGUGUCAUUUAUAUUCCAACAAGAAUGCCUAUGUUGCCCGAGUCAAGAAGCAUUCAAUGGGCUAGGGUGGCCCCGUUUUUCAGAAUUACCAUUAAAGCGUAUAAUGCCCACUUAUCAAUUAGCCACCCACUUUCCUUUUAUGCAUAAACCCACCUCAUAAAAAUCCUUCUCCCAUCUAUUUAUUUCUAAAUUUGGAACAAAUAGUUGUUUGGAAAUAAAAUUAGAAAUAAAUAGUUGGUUGUUAACCAGUUAAAAAAAAAACAGAUGGUUGUUUACAAUUAUUUAUAAAAAUAGCAAAACGCUUCAUCCAAAAUUUUUUUAUCAAGAUAAAAAUACUUAGUUUUUAAAAGAUAAUAUGAAAAGGUUUUUCUAUCUCUCCGCUCAGUUAAGGUCAUUAAAAUAAUUCCGGAGGUGCUCGGCAUGCACAUGGAAACUUAGUAAAACUUUAAAUCGCAAGUGAAUCACAAGACAAUUAACCUACCUCUGAAUUAAAUCCCAUUUGAGGAAUCACUAUUACCAUUGUCAUCGCUUCUCAUAGAUCCAAAUUAAAUUGCUAAGACUUGCACGCUUAAAUAACAUCUCUUUAAAAAAAAAAAAAAUUUCCACUCUCACCCAACCUAGAUCUAGCAAUCUUUAUCGAUUUUAAGUUCCAGUAAAAUUCUUUUUCAAAUAAAAGUAAUUUAGUGUGAAAAACAAACCGAAUUGAACCAAAUCACACUUCAAUAUAUCCAAAAAGAUAAAAUUAAAAUAUAUUUUACAUACCUAGUGAAAUGACCUUUGACUAGUACUAGUAGUACUCGGCAACAAAAGAGGAGGAGGAGGACAUGCUAAUUGUUGGCUAGGAUAAAAGUAAGAUCAACAACUUAAAAAAGGAAUUAAGCAAGUCCUUUGCAAUGAAGGAUUUGGGACCCGCAAAACAAAUUCUUGAGAUGGAAAUCUUGCGAGACAGGUAGAACCGUAAACUCUGGUUAUCUCAAGAACGGUAUGUUAAUAAAGUUCUUGAAAUAUUUAAUACGAAUAAAUCCAAAGUAGUUUGUUCUCCACUUACAAAUCAUUUCAAACCCAGCUUAGAGCAGUGCCCAAAGAGUGACACAAAAAAGAAGGAAAUGAAAAAAGUUCCUUAUGCAUCGGCGGUUAGCAGUCUAAUCUACGUGAUGGUAUGCACAAGACCUGAUAUCGCCUAUGCAGUUGGUGUGGUAAGCAGAUUUCUAUUCAAUCCCGAUAAGGAACAUUGGGCAGCAGUCAAAUGGAUAUUUAGGUAUCUUCGAGGUAAUUUUAAUAACUGAAUAUGCUUUAAUGAUGGUAAAAUUGUGUUAGAAGGUUUUUCAGAUUCAGACAUGGUAGGGGACGUGGACUCAAGAAAGUCUACAUCAGGAUAUAUAAUGACUUUUGUAGGGGGAGCAGUUUCAUGGCAAUCUCGACGACAAAAAUGUGUUGCCCUAUCUACUGCUGAAGCAUUGUAUAUUGCAAUAAUGGAAGCAUGUAAAGAACUCUUGUGGAUGAAGAAGUUCUUACAAGAAGUGGGCCACAACCAAGAGGAGUAUAUCUUGUAUUCAGAUAAUCAAAGCACAAUACUACCUAGCAAAAAUACAACUUUCCACUCCAUAUCCAAACACAUUGACAUCAUAUAUUAUUGGAUACGUGAUGUGUUGGAAGAAAAAGCCCUACAGCUAAAGAAAAUACACAUUGACAACAACGGCUUAGAUAUGAUGACAAAAUCUCUAUCUACAGUGAAGAUGCAAGCCUGUCAAACUUUUGCAAGUUUGACACCUUCUCCAAAUUGCUAGUGAGGGGAAGAUUUCUUAAGUAGGUUACUCUCGAUUGGAGAGGCCAAUGCAAUUAUGUAUAUUUGUAGUAUAAUAUGUAUAGUAGUGAGUGUGUAAAAGUAAAAAGAAAAAAAAAAUCAAGAGGGAUCAGUAGAUAAAUCAACAUGAUGUUCCAUACCCAAAAAAUCAAGGGAGAUUAGGAAACAAAUCAAAGUGAUCUUCUCAGAUCUACAAAAUCACAAGAGAUUAGGAGAUAAAUCCUCGUGAUUUUCAUAUCGUACAAUCCCAAUUGCAUUUGCUCCUAUAAAUAGGAGUCAUUCUCAACGGAGAAGUAUAUACAAAAGCAAGAAUAUCAAAGCAGCGUGACGGAGGAAAUAAUUUUUUUUCUUCCAAGAGAAAGUUAUGUUGAGAGAGUUAUCUAAUUUCUGAGAGAUUUAAAUCCACAAAUUAAAGACAGUGAGAGAUUCGCCUUAGUGUGAAGUUGUAUCCCAUUAUUUAUCAUAGUGGAAGUUUGAAGUGGACUACGUUUCUGGAUUUUUCCCUUCACCUUGGAUGGUUUUCCAAGUUAAAAUUCUAGUGUUAUUUACUAUUCAUCUUUACCGCUUUUAUUCAAUAUUUUAUCCUAUUUAAUUUUCAUAGAACUAGUAGUGGGAAAAAAAUAUCAGGGCCUUCUCAACAAAUAUCAUUCUUUUUCCCAACAACAUGAAGCUUGAAGACAGGAUGAACUCCAUUUGGAUAGAUUGGUGAUUUAGAUGUUUCAAAAAAUGAAUAAUUAAUUAUACCUAAUUAAGAAAGCAUAAAAGAACUACUCUUCUUCUCCUUGGUUUGAUCCCAUAGACACAUGGGCAGUGAAGAACUUAUGUUCUUCCCUAUUUCUCUUCAAUGCUUGUUAAUCUCGAAGUCCAAGUAGAGGGAGUAGUGCAUGUUUCUUGGGUCCAACCAAGAGUUCUGGGCAUUCACCAAGUUAAAUCCUUGUGAGAUCGGUUGGAUGGUUAACUGGAUAAAGUACACACUGCUUUGUUAUCCGUUGAAGUAGAAACACCUGAUCUCGUCACUAUGUAGUCUUAUGUUGCUUCCCUCUCCACCAAUUGUGACAUCCCUUAGCUAAAUUUGCCGACAACAAAGCGAAAGGAGGUGAAAGAAAAGAGAAGUGCGAGGCAGUUGGCACUUUGUCCAUACUAGGGCUUCCUUCUGUGUCCCUAAGUUUUCUUCAAUCAUUUUUCAUUGCAAGUGGCUGUCUCAUGCACUUAAGGGGAAUGUUUUCAGCAGUCGAUCAAAGACUUAUUUAUUAGGUUGAAGAUGAUCAUUUACUGACUGAAGACAAACAACAGAAUAUGCAAGGAGAAUCUCAUUCGAUAUUCCUGAUAUGAUUUGUGUUGUGCAUGGAUUGCUCAUUAUAUUUUCAAAUGAACAUGAAAUUCGUUGUGCCAAUCGUCUCACUCUUGCGUGCGUGCUCUCGCAUUGCUCAUGCUUCUUAGAGCAUAUGAUGCUACUGUAUAAAUCUGCAUGCUCCAUGGCCUCGAGUUCUUCAUGAUUGAAGAUUUGGGUUUCAGCUAAUUCGACGAAGUGACUAUGGCUCUCGCUCUCGCGCGCACACAAUGCUCGUGCUUCUUGGGGCAUAUAUGGGUUGACACUGUACAUAUCUGCAUACUCCAUGGCCUGCAAAGUCGAUGUAUGAGAGCUAUUCCAUAUGAUACCACUUGCAUCCCCUACUAUCGGCAUUGGACAAGUAGGAGUUAUCCUAUCAUAUUGUUCCCUUAAUUAGGGCAAUCCGUGUCCCAAACUCAAUGAAUUUCUUUCUUGCUGCAGUUUUGUCGCUCUAUUCAUACCCUUCCAAUAACGUGACACCUGCUUGAAAUUUCAAAUCCGAUUCAGUGGUAUUAUACCAACCAACUAGCACUUCAAAAACUGCUCAAAACCCUUAUGCCUUGUGGAGAGUCAAUAGGGUAUGGAUACUUAGCUAGAGAAUAGAUCGCAACGUAAAAACAAAUAAAUUACUCGCAUUUGGGAUUAAAAGCAUAGUGAAGAACUACAUAGGAGAAAGAUCCAAGAUUUUAGAAGCCAAGAAAAGAAAAGGAAAUACGGGGGGAAUUCCCUCAGCUAAAAAUACACUUUAAUCUCUUCUCUUUUUUGUAAAAGCACUUUUUGUAAUUCUUUUGAUUUUCUGAUUUUUUUUCUUUUUUUCCUUUUUUUUUUCUCUAUUCUCUUUUCAUUUUUCCCUUUUUCCCUCCGUUGGCCAUCCACGAGGCCUGUGUAUGAAUACAAAUAGCCUGUGAAUAGAGACUUGCUGUCACGCCCCGAACCCCGAGCGCGCGCACAUCCCACUACGGUCGAUCAAAAAUGCGACAUCCCAGGAUAUGUCGCCGACCCAUUUAUUUUAUUACGCAUGCGGAAGUGAAACAAAUCCCCUGACAAUAAAACACGGGAUAGAAAAGUAGGAAGCAAAACCACAACAUAACACUUCCCUAAUUCAACAGAAUUACAAACAGAGGUCUACGGCCAAAAGUCUACAAAAGAUCGGCCCUGAAAAAAGGAAUUGUCCUACGACCUACAAGUCGGACACGCUCUCCAAUCCUUAUGACUUCACAUCUGCAACUCCUCAAGGCCAACCAAAGCUAUUUGGCCGCUCCGUCCACCAGGGACCUGAAAUGGUUAUUCAAUAACCACUGAGACAACGUCUCAGCAAGUUCAACCCCCUAAACCCCUAUUAGAAAGAAAAUACGCCCUGGGUGGCAUAUCCACAUCACACAGAAGACUUACCUCGCCUCAGCCUUCAUAUGCAGGUUAGCACAAUUUAUAUAAAUCAACCACGUACAAUUAUGAUAACCAAACAACCAUGGCACAAUCACAUUAUCAAACAAUUCAACCACUUGGAUCGUCUCAGCGAUCAAUCGACUCGGCCGAUUACAUGUCAUUCUAGCAAAUCAAUCAUUGCUCUCAAUCACGACCCUAUAGGAAGGUUUAACAAUCAGUGGCAAUCACGGCCCCACUCGGCACGACCUCUCCUAGGUGGUACAUCACGGCCUCACUGGGCACGACCUCUAAUAGGUGGUCAAUCACGGCCUCACUGGGCACGACCUCUCAUAGGUGGUCAAUCACGGCCUCACUGGGUACGACCUCUCAUAGGUGGUUCAUCACGGCCUCACUAGGCACGACCUCUCAUAGGUGGUUCAUCACGGCCUCACUGGGCACGACCUCUCAUAGGUUGUUCAUCACGGCCUCACUGGGCACGACCUCUCAUAGGUGGUUCAUCACGGCCUCACUGGGCAUGACCUUUUCCUAGGUGGUACAUCACGGCCUCACUGGGCAUGACCUUUCCUAGGUGGUACGUCACGGCCUCACUGGGCACGACCUUUCCUAGGUGGUACAUCACGGCCAAUCUCCCAUCAAUUUCUACACUUAGGAUUUAUAAAGAAUCCCUAUUUAUCACAAUCACACUCCAUUUGCCACAAUCAAUCAUCAAAUUCAAAUUCUAAAUACACAGCAGCGAUCAGCACGAAAUUCUGAGAGAAUAAGGUUCCAAACUAAUUUUCAGAAUUUAUUAAAUAAUUAAAUUUAUUCCGAAAAUUAAUUAAAUAAUAAUAUCCAUGUCUUUCACGAUCCACACUCAAUUUAUAAUAUCAAAUCAUCAAUUUCAAAAUCUGACUACACAGCAGCGACCGGCACGAAAUUCUGAGAAUUUAGGGUCCUGACAAAAUUUUCGGAAUUUAAUAAUUAAUUAAAUUUAUUCCGAAAAUAAUUAAAUAAUAAUAUUUUAAUCAUUUCGAUUAAUAAAAUAUUAUUAAAUUAUUAAACAAUUUCGAAAUAUUUAUUUAAUCCCAAAAGUAAUUCAUUUAUGUCAAAUCAAGGCUUAUUUUAAAUAAACAUACUUACCCUUAAUUAAGCACACUUUAAAUUAAACCACCACCUUAAUCAAAUCUACUCUUAAUUAACAUAAACUAACAACCUAAUAAUACUUAGCAUAAACUAAACCUCCCUAAGCAUAAUUAACCCUCUAAGUGAGGUUUAGUGAGCUAAACUUACCGGAUUAGCGAGCCGAGCGGACCAAAACGACAAGGGCGACGCGAGGAUCGACUUUCUUCAAGGCGGGCCGAGCAUCUGGGCUCGGGAAGGCAGCCAAAACGGGCCAAGCAUGGGCUGCCAUACCCACUUUUCCAGCCACUGAUUUGGGGCCGAGAAGGGCGGAUCCGGCGUCGGAACAGCGGAGGAGGACUGCUGGUGGCUCGGACGGGUGAGGCGGCGGCUAGGCGAGGCCUCACGGUGGCCGGAGGGAGCUCCGGCAGCUCCUGCGCGAGCUGAACAGCAGCUCGGGACGACGAGCUGGGCGAGAAUACCACCAAGACGCGCGGCCAGCAGCAGCGCGCGAGGAUGGCAGCUCGACGGUGAGACGACGCGGGGCGAGGAUGGCGACUCCGACGAGCGACGACUCCUGGCGGCGUCGGCUGCUGCUUCUGCCCGGCGUCCUACCAGAUCUGAGAUCUCGAGCAAUGGAUGGAGGAGGAGAAAGAAGGCAGAGCAUCACACACGUGGGCGAGCGGAGCAGCGAACGGCGGACGAACGGCGGCGGCGAAGCCUCUGGCGGACGAGCGUGCGAGCGGGCGAAGGGGCUGCUUCGGCUUCUCUGCAAAUUUUCUGGUCUUCGCACACCAACCAUGGAGGAGAGAGGCAACGGGGGAGAGAGGAAGAAGAGAGGGAGGAGAGAGAAGAAGGGGGGCCAUUUCUUUUUCUUUUCCCUUUUCUUUUUCUCUUUUUCCUUCAUCCAAUCAAGGUGGCCCACCAUGACCUAGGAUGACCUCACAAUCCACUCACCCAAAUCCUCCACAACUUCUCCAAUAGUUGCACUUUCAUUUUUCCGCCGGGGUCCAAUUCUUGUAAAUCCAAUUUCUUCAAUUCCCAUCAAUUCUCUUCCAAUUGAGUCCAAUUGAAGUCCAUAAAAUUAAUCAAAUGUCACCACACUUUAAUUCACAUCUUCACUUGUCCAUAGAACCAACUUAAGUCCCAAAAACGUGACCAAAGAUGGACCUACUAAUUUCUCGAGCCAAAUUAGCCAUUCUCUGAUUAUUUUGCUGAAAAACUCGGCUUGCAUGAAAAAUCUUCCAAAGAUUAGUCAAUGUUCCUAAAAUGAUUUGUGACAUACCCAGACUUCCAAUUUCUGAAUUCGAUCUCAAUUUCACGGUUAAUUUCAUUUUGGCACGAUACUAGCGCGGCCCAACCUACCGGGUAGCCUCUAGGAAUUUUCAUGCAUUUGACCUGUGGUUGAUCAUCUCAAGCCACAAUGUACAUCUUUGAAACAUUGGCGACUUUCGGUUGUCGGGGUAAUCUCAAUGUUUCAAAUACGAACACAGGGUACCCAAUCGAUAGAAAAGUCGGUCUAGUGCCUAUCGACAAGAAUUGUGUGAUCUGGUGGAAUCACCCACACUUGAUCACAUGCCUCUGUCGAGUCGUCCUAUCUCCGAUCUCUAAUCGAUCUUUAAUUGUGCCGUAAUGACCCUUGCAGAUUAGCUCGAUCGAAAGGUCGUUUCCUGAUCAAAUUCUCGAGUCUGAUGCAUUAUAAACUCUUAACAGCUUCACCCGAUAGACUAGCUUUCACAUGAGUGGCCGACUCAAGGAAAAGAACUAUAUGCGUGCCAACGAAAUGCCUGUCUCAAUUCAUUGAAAAUAGACUUGGAAAAUCGGGAUGUCACACUUGCAUAUUUAUAUUGUAGUCAAGAUUGAAGUUUGAUUUGACUAUAUAUAUUUAUAGAUAACCCUUUCUGACCAAAACCAAAAAUACUCAAAUCAAAUACGUAACUUCCAAAGCUUUAAGAAAUAUCCUAUAAGUAGAUUAUUGACAUGUUUUUAAAUAGUUUAAGAAUCACACAGUAUCAGGAAUGUAGGUUAAGGGUUUGUGUUGUGGUGCUAUACUCUCAAUAAUCAAAGAUCAUUCUAACUCGCUAGACUUCAACCAAUCUCAUAGCAUCAUACUCAUAAGUACCUANNNNNNNNNNNNNNNNNNNNNNNNNNNNNNNNNNNNNNNNNNNNNNNNNNNNNNNNNNNNNNNNNNNNNNNNNNNNNNNNNNNNNNNNNNNNNNNNNNNNNNNNNNNNNNNNNNNNNNNAGAGAGAGAGAGAGAGAGAGAGAGAGAGAGAGAGAGAGAGAGAGAUAUGAAGCCCUAGGUCGGCUACUUAGACGAUAAAAUCGGGAGAGUGACUUACACGUAUGGAAACUUAGUCAUAAAAUUGAAUAAAUUUUCUUUUCCAUGCUAGUUCAGGAAAAUGAGCAUAAACUUGUCAAUUUAGAUUAGAAUGACCGGAUUCCAAAGCAAAAGAAUGGAGACUCGAAGAAUCAUAAAUUUUGUGUUUUUAGUUUCUUCAACUAAGCAUUGUAGGCUUGUUAAUUUUUUAUGAAAGUGAGCUAAAUAGCAGUGGACAAAAUGAAAAAGUACAAGAAUUUCAAUGGUUGCUCUUCUAGGCCCCCGGGGAAGUUGAAAUAGCAUCAAUUGUUCGAGAUUGAUGGCUGUAACUCUUCGAAGAUGUAGGCUUUAAAAGCCUCGACUCUCAANNNNNNNNNNNNNNNNNNNNNNNNNNNNNNNNNNNNNNNNNNNNNNNNNNNNNNNNNNNNNNNNNNNNNNNNNNNNNNNNNNNNNNNNNNNNNNNNNNNNUUUGCUGUACCACAAGAAGAUAUUCUAUUAUAUUCAGUUGGUGAUAAGCACAAUAUAAGGAGUACAUUGCUUUUGCAUCGAGUGUUUGUCUCUUGAUUAUUUCUUCCUGAGACAUUCCGCUGGUUUCUUCAGUUUCUUUUCCUCUUUCAGAGACUGAUGCAGUGGUAGGAGUAAUUCCUUUUUCUACAACAUCCCAUUCCAGAGGAUCCUUUGAUCGUAGGAAAGCUUUCAUCUUGUUCUUCCAGAUGUUGUAAUCAUUUCCAUCAAAGUAGGGUGGUCUGGUAUUGCUUUGCCCUUCCAUCAGCCUUGGUGCUAGCAUACUAGCCAUGGAUCUUUUACUAUGAAGUAAAACACUUCAAAUAAAGUAAGUACACAGGCUCUGAUACCAAUUGAUAUUGCUAGUAUGAGUACCUAGAGGGGGGUGAAUAGGUGCCUAAACAAUUUAUCGAUAUACGGAAGCGAUUCUUAACAUAUGAUCGAAAGUAAAUUCUCUCUUAAUUAACAAAACGAAAUACGAUUGAGGUAGAGAGAGUGAGGAAGAGAAAAUUGAACACAGGAUUUAUAGUGGUUCGGCUUAUUCCAAGCCUACGUUCACUCUUCCGCACUGACAGCCCACCGGCUGGAUUUCACUAUGAUCAAAAGAGAAGUUACAGCACAGCUUUGCCUUGAUUCCACAGUGUAGAUGUUUUACUACACCUCCUCAAGGUCUCUCACAAAUAUAGACUCUAUUUUGUAUACAAGUAUUCGCUCAAAGGAUUUAUCUAAACAAAUAGGAGCUUCAGACUUUGGAAUUCUUCUAUCGCGCACACCUCGAACAACUAAGAACUUCUUCCUUAUAUACUCCUUUAUGCCAUCAUACAUGUUGGCACUUACCAAAGGAAUUCCUCCAAUCUACCCGUUGGACGGAAUCAAUUAGGAAGAUUGUUCGAGCUAUUAAAGGAACGUGUUGAUAGCCCAUCAAUCCUGUUCGCCCAUACAAUCAGGAUCUCGGUUUCCAUAAGUAGAACCUUCCAAUAAUAUUUAGACAAUCAUCGAAUCUUCAGUCAUUGAAUCAAUCUUGAUCAAUCAAAGGAUUCUUAUACAUCUUCUCCAACCACGAGAUCUUCUCCAGAUGAUAAGGUUAAAUCCUGAACAAAACAUCCAGUUCUGGAUAACCUUUCUUCAACGGAUUAGAGACUGUCAAUGAGGAUAGACUUUGAGUCUUGAGUCUGGCUGUCCGGAAGUCUUCAGACUUUAACUAACAGAGUCUGCAGACCUUCAGACUAGACUGAUGGAAACGUUUUGUCAACUUCAAAACACUUCACGAAGAUUUCUCCAACAACUCUUAUAUACUUUUUUGUCAUGUACAGCUAUGUUACGUACUUUUUGAAUUAAAAUUAUAUAUAACAUUACGAUCAAGUGAUUUUUUUGAAUUGGACGCCAUCGCCCUUUUAGUUAAUUGACAUUGACUAACAGAGUGUGGAUCCAUCCUAAGCGAAGACUGUGUGCUAAUUAGUUUUGGAAAAUAAUAUUUCAAUAUAUCACCGUACCUAAAACAAUAUGUGGAAAUGUAAAAGCAAGGAAUCAGAUCAUCAGAACACCCAAGAUACAACCUGUACAAGACAAAGCCCGAACCCAUGCUCAUCCUCUCAGGGAAGCAUUCACAAGCAGCAGAAUUCAAGAUUCAAGAACCACCCUCCGCAAAUGUACAGCGUGUCAGCGACUAUUGAAGGCAGUCUCUAAGGAAAUAAAAUUACAUAAACAAGGCAGAUAGCAGCAAAAAGAGACGGAGAUCCUCCAUGGUUUAGAAGUGAUGGUGGUGCUUCUUGCCAUGAUGAGACUCUUUAUCUUUUUUCUUGGCCUCCUUCCUCUCGUGGUGCUCAUGGAAGGCGAACCCGACAGCCCCGACGGCAGCGGCGGCAGCUAUUUCCUCCUUUAUCUUGUGCCGGUGAGCGUGCUCCGGGUCCUUCUUGGCCUUAUGCUUCUCAUGCUGCAUUUUGCACAUCAUUAAUCAGAAAUUGCGUGCACGAAACAAAAUGAGUUAAGGUAAACAGGAAAGGAGCAAAAAAAAAAAAGUUCUCUAUUAUGUAUACUUUUUUUUAUACAAGCUCUGAGCAUGGGAUAAGUUUGAGAAAAAAAAUUAAUUUAUUCACUUUGAAAAGAAGCAUUUGAUCCUGUAAAUAGUGCUAUGGAUUACAACUAUGGUUUUUGUUUAAGCCAAUUGUAGGGAAAUCUUAUUCCUCUAGCUGAUGGGUGAAGGAAAUCAAUUAAAUUCAAACUAUUGUUCAUUUAUAAGGAUGAUCCAAUCUCGCAUGGCAUGCCAUUAUUAUGUCGAGUUGAAAUAUGUGAGUUUAAUUGAGAUCUUUUGCAUUCAAUGCUCGUUAAUAACAUGAUGAUUCAGGUCAAUAAGGUGAAUACGAGAAUUUUAUCUAAAUUAUAAAAUGGGAAAAGAAUUUCAAAAAUUGAAAAGAAGAUGAAAAUUAUUACCAAGGCAUAAGCACCGGCAGCGACGGCACCGAGCUCGCCGAGCUGCUGGAGGUGCUUGUGGUGCUUCUCCUCCUUCCUGUAAUCAACCGUAGGCUCCAUGAAGGCAUCAUCCUUCUUGUGGUGGCUGCGGUGGAGGUUGUGGUGGUGGUGAUGGUGGUGUCCUUCGGCCAUGGUUGGUGGUUGUUUUUUUAAGGAAUACUAGAAUUGACGAAGGAUCAGGGAAAGGACUAUAGCUGAAGUGUAUGAUAUGCGUUGUGUGACCGUUAGAGAGGAGGGGCGUAUUUAUAGGGAAAGUUGGCACAAGCAAAGUCUUGCAUCCAAUCGGGCCAACGCGGGAGGCCUUAAACGCGUGAUGGACGGUCGGGAUUGCUUAGUCUGGUUCUUCUCGAUGCAUUUUUGUCUUCUUUCGAUGGGGGGCGGUUUCUAGUUGAGGGAUUUUUGGGACGGCAAAUUUAUUAGAGAACAAUGCUCUAACAAUACCAUAUACUGGACAGUGAUGUUUCUAUCGUUUCCCUUUGAUUUGUCUGAUGAUAAUUUCUUAGUCUUGAGCUUGAAUUGCAUGAUUUGUUUAAUAAUGUAAUUGUAGGGGUCCAAAGUCUAAGAUGAAACUUUCUGGUGGAGGUGGGUGGUUUUAACUUAUCGAUUAAGUAAUCGCAUCACAUGAAUGUGCUCUAUGGGUUGUCCCGUGGUUUCAUACCUACUCGUUUUUGCAAAAGUGAUCAUCUCUUUUUAGAUGCUUUAAGAAUAAGAGAAUACGUUAAUUUUUUCAUCACCGUACUUCCAUUUUUUUUCUUUUUUUUUUCCUGCUAUACUCUUAGAUUGUUUGUAAGAGGCAUGGCAUUAUAUCCAUAUUAAUUUUCAAGGGAUGAAACCCGAAUUUAAUUAAAUAGUAGAACUAGUUCGUAUAUGCUCUAGCGAUGCAUUUAGUGGAACCCCUUCAUUUUAGAAUUGGUUGACUUGCCUAUAUACAUAUAAAAUUUAAUGGGGUAGAUAUUAUCUGGUGUUGAUUAGAAGGUGGACAUCAAUAAAACAUAUAUAAAUGAAUAAAUAAGUAAAAUUAAAAAUUCAAGGACUACAUCACCCAUUGCACAUUAUCCAAAGCAUCCAAGUACUAACACUCUUUGCCUAUGAUUUGAAAGCAGCCUGUACAUCUUUAUUUCUUUUUAACCGAAAUAAAAGAACCUUCCAAUAUCUUAUAAAAACUUUUGAAAGAUUUGAGGUGACGUACGAUGACAUGAAGAUUUUUCUAUGAAAAAAUUGAACGCGUUUUGACAUUACAAUUCCAUGUUUUUGUCUUCUAUGGUUUUAUCAGGGGCACGUGCACUCCUCUUGAAGUCGCGUGUCGGUUUUUGGUGCCUUCGCGUUCGCCCGUAAAAUGCAUACUCGGAUGACGGCGAGUCUUCGCCGCGUCGGCGACUUCGUCUUUGUCAACAAAACCAAAAUGAACUUUCCGACGAUGGCGUGUCUUCGCCUCGUCCGCCUUAGCGCGUGGUCCAUACCGUGUGAUAAUGCUCUCAUCGUCACGAGAAUUCGGUCAGCAUCGACUUCUUCACCUAUUCCCAAGUUGCAGCAGCAUGACACGACGAAAUCCUUGCGUGGCGCAGCCUUCUCCGGCAUUGCAUGGCUAGAGUACCGCCUGACGCACGGGUCGAAUCGGAAGCUAAUGGGAUCUACACACAAGAAAACAUUCGACCAUCUGUCGCAUCCUAGCGGGAGAAGACUAAAUCCGAUCAAGCCAUGAGAAUAUAGAGUUUAUGUAGCUACGCAAAAUUGCAAGAUUUUGAAAUACAAAGCUCCUUUUUCCAUGACCUAACGAUAGAGUUGUCUUGCGUGGGAGGCACAUGGCGUGUUGCCACGUCAGCAAUCUCCGAUGAAAAAAUCAAAAGGAUUAUAUUAAAAUUUCCUGUAAAGACUUAGGAUUACAUAAGAAAAAAUUUAUAAGUUUUAGAACUGAUUUGACUUCCGUACAAAAUAUGUAGGUGUAAUUAAGUAAUUUUAAAGGUUCAUUUGAGACAAAUUGAAGGUUAUAAUUGUAAUUGGCCAUUAGCAACGGAUCGAUCCGACGAGUGAAGGAAAGGAUAAUUUUGAGAUGAAAAGGGAGAUUGAUUGGAGAAGGAACAUUCCUUUUUUGGGCUUUUGCAGGCCCAUUGGCAAAGCCAUGCUGGCCCAACGGCCACCGGUCAAGUAGAUGGGCCCAGAGUUUGAGCCUUCGGGCCCAUAUAAUUCGAUUUGGGCCGAGCCUUUUACUAGGCCAUAUCGAGAGAAGAUGGGCCUGAUCGACACAGCCCAACCCAGCCCAGCCCAAUUGCCACUCCUUCCUCAUUAUGUAAGUCGAUAUAUGAGGUAAGCACGGAAUCAUCUAAUUCAGUGAAAAUUCAACCAUGAACUUUAUUUAUAUUUUUUUUUUUUGGCUGAAGUUUUUGGAUCUAUAUUAUUAAACCCCAAAGUGUCAUUUAUAUUCCUACGAGAAUCCCUCCAAGGCCCAUAGUUUGGGCGUUAAGGCCCAAAUAAGUUGAUUGUGUGGGGCCUACCUGGCCUAGCCUAAUUGUCACCGCCUCCUCAUUAUGUAAGUUGAUAUAUUAGGUAAGUACGGAAUCACCUAAUUCAAUGAAAAUCCAACCAUUAACUUUAUUACUCUUUUUCCUUUUUGGGGGCUAAAGUUAUUGGAUCUAUAUUAUUAAACCCAAAUUGUCAUUUAUAUUCCUACGAGAAUCCCUCCGCGGCCCGGAGUUUAGGCCUUAGGGCCCAAAUACGUUGAUUUUGCCAGUCCGACCAAGCUCGGCCCAAUUGCCACCCUUCCUCGUUAUGUAGUCGAUAUAUUAGGAAUGAGUGGAAUAAUCCAAUUUAGUAAAAAUUUAACCAUUAACGUUAUUUUAUUUUUUGCUAAAGUUUUUGGAUCUAGAUUUUUAAACCAAAAGUGUCAAAUAUUAUUUAUAUAUUGAAAUAUAUUUUAAUUUUAUUAAUUUUUUUGGUCGAAUAAUUUUAAUUUUGUUAAUUAUGUUAAUUUAAGAAGUUUAGUUUCCGAUAAAAGUAAUUUUCUUAAUAUGAAUAUUAGAAAUCAUAUUUACCUUUAUUCCACCCUCCCACGAAAUAAUUUUGUCCGGUCUAUGUUCCUAUCAUAUCUGACUUUAUCAUAUUUUGAGCACACAUCAAACGAAGAAUAAGAUAAAUUUUAUCAUAUCUUGAAUUUUAUCAUGACUGUCAAAUGCAAUCAAGGUUUUUCUAUCUAUUGUAUUUUUUGCAUCAAAUUCUUAGUGGUUCAUUAACGCUUUUCCUAGAUUCGCUUGAGGCACAUUUGUAACACAAUUGUGUAGCUAUUAAUGUUAUGCUGAUGACAUUUUCUACUAGGCAACUUCAAGCAUAACUUGCUUUUUGGUUACAUGGUCCUUUCCAAUUUCCCCUUAUUUGUUUCAUUUUUUUGUUAAUCAUCGUGUUAAAUCUUGAUUUGUUUUAACAAAUUUGACAGAUAAAGAGCCUCUUGGGAACAAAGGUUGAGUGGAUGUACUAUAUUCUCAAGGCAUCUAAUGCUGGUGAUUUGCGAUGCUAUUGACAACUAUGUCAUGUACACAAGGCUACUCUCAAUGCACAACCUGGUUUGGUCGAAAAUGACAAAGAUCUAUUGGAGAAAAUCAACAAUCUCUGCCUAAUGGAAAUCAUAUUCAGGUCUCGCUUUCAAUUCUUUUCUUAUUAUUUCACAUUUUGCAUUAUAACUGUGUAUUCCUCCACAUAUAAAAUACACAAUCUUAUCCUGCAACCGUCCAUAAGAAGAUAGGACAAUUCCACCCAGCAUUAUUGAUGAAAGCCCAAAGUCUUUGUAUAGCUCAUGUUGAGCACCUACUCAUGAAGAGCCUUUCUAUAAGUCUUCCAGAUUCUUUUGUAUUUCCCUUGGUGGUUGUGUUGUGCUGUGUUCUAUGACAUUGGAUGAGUAGAUUGGACGCCAUCAUUAUUCUGGCUGUGUGUAUAUGAUCCUUCUCUAGUUUAAGUUCAUUUGGCUAUAGUUUGACUUAGCCUUAUGGUGCAGCUGUAUACACGAAGCUUGAAGACAGAAUGAACUCCUUCUGGAUAGAUUGGUGGUUUAGAUGUUUCAAAAAAUGAAUAAUUGAUAGACAUAUGGAUGGGUGGAAGCUUGAUACCUAAUUAAGAGAGCAUAAAAGAACCACUCUUUUUCUCCUUGGUCUGAUCCCACAAACACAUGGGCAGUGAAGAACUUUUGUUCUUCGCUAUUUCUCUUCAAUUUUGGUUAAUCUCAAAGUCCAAGUAGAGGGAACAGUGCAUGUUUCCUGGGUCCAACCAAGAGUUCUAGGCAUUCUGCAAUUUAAAUCCGUGUGAGAUCAGUUGGAUGGUUGGCUGGACAAAGUACACACUGCUUUUCUAUCCGUUGAAGCAGAAACACCUGAUCUCGUCACUGUGUAAUCUUAUGUUGCUUUUACCUCCGCCAAUUGUAACAUCCCUUCACUAAGUUUGCCGACCAAAGCGAAAGGAGGUGAAAGAAAAAGAGACAAGUGCGAGGCAGUUGGGCAUUUUGUCCAUACCUGGACUUCUUUAUGUGUCUCUAAGUUUUCUUCAAUCAUUUUUUUUUUUUUUUUGCAAGUGGCUGUCUCAUGCACUUCAGGGUAAUGUUUUCAGCAGUCGAUUAAAGACUUAUUUAUUAGCUUAAAGAUGAUCAUUUACUAACUAAAGAUAAACAUCAGAAUGUGCAAGGAGAAUCUCAUUCGAUAUUCCUGAUAUGAUUUGCGUCAUGUAUGAAUUGCUUAUUAUAUUUUCAAAUGAACAUGAAAUUCAUUGUGCCAAUUGUCUCACUCCUGCAUGCGUGCACUCGCAUUGCUGGUACUUCUUAAGGCAUAUGAUGCCACUAUAUAUAUUUGCAUGCUCCAUGGCCUUGAGUUCUUCACAGUUGACAACAGUUCUCACUCUUGUGCGUGCACAUAAUGCUCGUGCUUCUUAUGGCAUAUAUGGGUGGACACUGUACAUAUCUGCAUACUCCAUGGCCAGCAAAGUCGAUGUAUGAGAGCCAUGCCAUAUGAUACCAUUUGCAUUCCCUGCUAUUGGCAAUGGACAAGUGGGAGUUGUCCUAUCAUACUGUUCCCUUAAUUGGGGCAAUACGGGUCUCAAAUUCGAUGAAUUUCUUUCUUGCUGCAGUUUUGUAGCUAUCCUAUUUUGCAUUUUUUUAAAGUUAUUCAUACCCUUCCAAUAAGGCGACACCUGCUUGAAAUUUCAGAUCCGAUUCAGUGGUAUUAUACCAGCCAACUAGCACUUCAAAAACUGCUCAAAACCCUUUUGCCUUGUGGAGAUUCAAUAGGGUAUGGACACUUAGCUAAAGAAUAGAUUGCAACGUAAAAACAACAAAAUUACUCGCACUUGGAAUUAAAAGCACAGUGAAUAACUAUAGGCUACUAUGUGUCACGGGCCAAUCGAUUGAGAUCGUGACCGUGAGGCGACUCGGGUAACUUUGGAUCACCUAAGCCAAGCCUUACUAGAUCGAACACCUACCCGCUCACUUACCCAGAUCGUUGAGAGAGAAAGUUAGAGAGAGGAGCUCUGAGAAGGAAAGGAAAGCUUUGAUAUUUCUGAAAUUGAUUGGAUGAUUACGAAUGAGGGAGGACACCCCUUUUAUAGCUAAGGGCCUCGGAUUACAUCCGUUGAUCUACUUUUCAUCCGACGGGCGAGAUCGCACUGCCUCAACUACUGACAUAAAUAUUCAACUACCAUCUACCGACAUUAAUGAAAGGGAAACUUCUAGAAUCAAGCGAAAUGACAGUGUCACCCACCAUUGGAAACUUUGGGGAGCAAGGCUUGACUUGGGUGAUCCAAAGUUGCCCGAGUUGCCGCGCAAUCACGAUCCCAAUUGAUCGGCCCGUGACAAGUGAUAUCAGAGCAAAAGAGAGAUCCGUUUGAGAGACCAAGGAGCACCAAUUGUUCAAAGGAAUGUCGAGCCAAGAAGCUGUUAUGGAUGGAGAGGCCGCACAAGUCAAGGAGACCCGUGGCCGAGCAAAGAAAAGAGACGCCUUGAUGGACGUCGUAGCUGCGUUUGAUGAGAAGAUCGGGAAGGUUCGGAGCGCCGUGCUCGAACUCAUGGAAGGUCUUGAUGAUGUGCGAGACCGGAUCAUGGAGGUUGAGAGUUCGCUCCAUGAAGACUUCACGAGCGAGCUCAACCCGAAGCUACUGCGCCAUUACACGACAAGGACGAAGCCCUUGAAGCAUCGAUCGAUAUGUUGAAGGAGCGCGUUCAAGUGGUUGAGGAAGAAGCUCCACAUAGGGACGAGGUCGAAGCCAUGAAGGCUGAGAUCCAAGAGCUCAAGACCGAGCUCGCCCUAUGCAAGAUGAGCAUCACCAACGGUGCUGUGCCUACCCAAGCGAUGCCCAAACUUGAGGUGCCAAAGCCAAAUGAGUUUAAAGGCGAACGAUCCGCCAAGGAGGUGGACAACUUCAUUUGGAGCAUGGAGCAAUACUUCGGCACCGUCAACAUACACGACGAGUCGAUCAAGGUAUGAACCGCUUCCAUGUUCCUAUCCGACACGGCAAUGCUUUGGUGGCGCAACAAGUGUGAUGAGGUAAGACGCGGUGCCGAUCUCAUGUGCACAUGGGACGACUUCGUGAGAGAGUUCCGGGACUAUUUUUUCCCCGAGUUCGCUCAGCAAGAAGCUCGUAGCAAGCUCCAUCGCCUCGAGCAAAGAGGCGCGAUCUGAGAGUACAUGAAAGAGUUCACGGAGCUCAAACUCCAUAUUCGCAACUUAAGUGAAGAGGAGGCUCUCGGAGCAUUCAUGGAUGGAUUGAAGCCAUGGGCACUUCUCGAGCUCAAGAGACGUGACAUGAGUAGUCUUACGCGAGCGCUAAGCGUGGCCGGUCACUUGUCGACCUCACCAAGACCGAACCAAGGAGUUGACCGAGAGAUUGGAGGUCGGAUCGACCUUGUGAGGAUGAAGCACGAAGCACUCCUCGGGGUGCGCAUGAUCAAGGCGGCUAAGCCAAAACAUGGGGAGAAGGAACUUCCAAGCCAUCCUUCCAAAGGAGUCAACCACCAACGGACUACACGAGUAAGUUUGAUCAACCCCCGCCUUCUCCUUGCUUCAUUUGCCAAGGUCCACAUUGGACCCAAAAAUGCCUGAAGAAGGGUCGAAUCAAUGCCCUCCUUGCCAUCGAGAAAGAAAAGGAGGAGCCCAAAGAAGAUAAGCGACAAAUCCAGAUUGGAGCUGUGAGGAUGAUCAACUUGGUCCAAGCCUGAUCGCUGACCAAAGAAGAAAUCGCACCGAACACAAACAUGUUCUAUGUGGAGGUCAAAGUGUGUGGCCAAACACUUUAUGCUUUGGUCGACACCGGCGCAUCCAACAUGUUCAUGUCAACCGAGGUUGCAAAGGCUUUGGGACUUCACGUGGAACCAUCCGGGAAGUCAUACAAGCCCAUCAAUUCGGGUGACUUCCCUGGCGUAGGAGCAACACCCGACGUGGACGUCAAGAUUGGCGGAUGGAAGGGCAAGAUGGCGUUCGAGGUAAUCCCUCUUGACGAUUACGAUCUCAUUCUUGGCAUGCAAUUCUUUGAAAGUGUGGGAGCGAUGAUCAACAUGAGGACCAAGUGCAUGAUGAUCCUCGACCAAAAGUGCCCGUCGAUGAUCCCCAUGAUCAAGGGGGUGGUUGACACCAAGACCAUCGCGUCAAUCCGACGCCUCGACAAGAGCUUGAAGAACGUGAUGCGCAUCAACAAGCUGUCCGAGGUGAAGCCAAAGGUCAAGUUGGAUCCUACUCCAACACACGCCAUGCCCAUCCAAGCGCUCUUCCCCGAAGUUGAGUGCUCACCACACACCACGCCUAAGCCAAAGGUGGAGCCGCGUGCCAAGUCCGACUUCAUCAUAGAAGGUUGCGGCCCUUCGUUCGUGAGCAUCCAAGCGAAGCAAAAGAAGAACCAGAGAGCCCGUGCCAAAGCCCAUGCUCGUGCCAAGAAGGUUGACCGACAAGCUGUGAGCGACGAGGGCGUUGCUCAAAUGAGUGAGGGAGAAUGUCAUGGCCCGAAAGAAAGCCGACCCGAGAGGUUCUCGAAGGGCGAUCACGACUCACCCGUGGACCUCCUGCUCUCACUCGGAUUCCCACCAAGCCUACUCCCCAAAGUUUCCAAGGGUGGGCGACAUUGCCAUUUCGCAUGAUUCUAGAAGUUUCUCUUUCAUUAAUGUCAGUAGACGGUAGUUGAAUACUUAUAUCGGUAGUUGAGGCGAUGCGAUCUCGCCCGUCGGAUGAAAAGUAGAUCAAUGGAUGUAAUCCGAGGCCCUCAACUAUAAAAGGGGUGUCUUCCCUCAUUUGUAAUNNNNNNNNNNNNNNNNNNNNNNNNNNNNNNNNNNNNNNNNNNNNNNNNNNNNNNNNNNNNNNNNNNNNNNNNNNNNNNNNNNNNNNNNNNNNNNNNNNNNUGGCCAGCAAAGUCGAUGUAUGAGAGCCAUGCCAUAUGAUACCAUUUGCAUUCCCUGCUAUUGGCAAUGGACAAGUGGGAGUUGUCCUAUCAUACUGUUCCCUUAAUUGGGGCAAUACGGGUCUCAAAUUCGAUGAAUUUCUUUCUUGCUGCAGUUUUGUAGCUAUCCUAUUUUGCAUUUUUUUAAAGUUAUUCAUACCCUUCCAAUAAGGCGACACCUGCUUGAAAUUUCAGAUCCGAUUCAGUGGUAUUAUACCAGCCAACUAGCACUUCAAAAACUGCUCAAAACCCUUUUGCCUUGUGGAGAUUCAAUAGGGUAUGGACACUUAGCUAAAGAAUAGAUUGCAACGUAAAAACAACAAAAUUACUCGCACUUGGAAUUAAAAGCACAGUGAAUAACUAUAGGCUACUAUGUGUCACGGGCCAAUCGAUUGAGAUCGUGACCGUGAGGCGACUCGGGUAACUUUGGAUCACCCAAGCCAAGCCUUACUAGAUCGAACACCUACCCGCUCACUUACCCAGAUCGUUGAGAGAGAAAGUUAGAGAGAGGAGCUCUGAGAAGGAAAGGAAAGGAAAGCUUUGAUAUUUCUGAAAUGGAUUGGAUGAUUACAAAUGAGGGAGGACACCCCUUUUAUAGCUAAGGGCCUCGGAUUACAUCCGUUGAUCUACCUUUCAUCCGACGGGCGAGAUCGCACCACCUCAACUACUGACAUAAAUAUUCAACUACCAUCUACCGACAUUAAUGAAAGGGAAACUUCUAGAAUCAAGUGAAAUGACAGUGUCACCCACCAUUGGAAACUUUGGGGAGCAAGGCUUGACUUGGGUGAUCCAAAGUUGCCCGAGUUGCCGCGCGAUCACGAUCCCAAUCGAUCGGCCCGUGACAAGUGAUAUCAGAGCAAAAGAGAGAUCCGUUUGAGAGACCAAGGAGCACCAAUUGUUCGAAGGAAUGUCGAGCCAAGAAGCUGUUAUGGAUGGAGAGGCCGCACAAGUCAAGGAGACCCGUGGCCGAGCAAAGAAAAGAGACGCCUUGAUGGACGUCGUAGCUACGUUUGAUGAGAAGAUCGGGAAGGUUCGGAGCGCCGUGCUCGAACUCAUGGAAGGUCUUGACGAUGUGCGAGACCGGAUCAUGGAGGUUGAGAGUUCGCUCCAUGAAGACUUCACGACCGAGCUCAACCCGAAGCUACCGCGCCAUUACACGACAAGGACGAAGCCCUUGAAGCAUCGAUCGAUAUGUUGAAGGAGCGCGCUCAAGUGGUUGAGGAAGAAGCUCCACAUAGGGACGAGGUUGAAGCCAUGAAGGCUGAGAUCCAAGAGCUCAAGACCGAGCUUGCCCUAUGCAAGAUGAGCAUCACCAACGGUGCUGUGCCUACCCAAGCGAUGCCCAAACUUGAGGUGCCAAAGCCAAAUGAGUUUAAAGGCGAACAAUCCGCCAAGGAGGUGGACAACUUCAUCUGGAGCAUGGAGCAAUACUUCGGCACCGUCAACAUACACGACGAGUCGAUCAAGGUAUGAACCGCUUCCAUGCUCCUAUCCGACACGACAAUGCUUUGGUGGCGCAACAAGUGUGAUGAGGUAAGACGCAGCGCCGAUCUCAUGUGCACAUGGGACGACUUCGUGAGAGAGUUUCGGGACUAUUUUUUCCCCGAGUUCGCUCAGCAAGAAGCUCGUAGCAAGCUCCAUCGCCUCGAGCAAAGAGGCGCGAUCUGAGAGUACAUGAAAGAGUUCACGGAGCUCAAACUCCAUAUUCGCAACUUAAGUGAAGAGGAGGCUCUCGGAGCAUUCAUGGAUGGAUUGAAGCCAUGGGCACUUCUCGAGCUCAAGAGACGUGACAUGAGUAGUCUUACGCGAGCGCUAAGCGUGGCCGGUCACUUGUCGACCUCACCAAGACCGAACCAAGGAGUUGACUGAGAGAUUGGAGGUCGGAUCGACCUUGUGAGGAUGAAGCACGAAGCACUCCUCGGGGUGCGCAUGAUCAAGGCGGCUAAGCCAAAACAUGGGGAGAAGGAACUUCCAAGCCAUCCUUCCAAAGGAGUCGACCACCAACGGACUACACGAGUAAGUUUGAUCAACCCCCGCCUUCUCCUUGCUUCAUUUGCCAAGGUCCACAUUGGACCCAAAAAUGCCUGAAGAAGGGUCGAAUCAAUGCCCUCCUUGCCAUCGAGAAAGAAAAGGAGGAGCCCAAAGAAGAUAAGCGACAAAUCCAGAUUGGAGCUGUGAGGAUGAUCAACUUGGUCCAAGCCUGAUCGUCGACCAAAGAAGAAAUCGCACCGAACACAAACAUGUUCUAUGUGGAGGUCAAAGUGUGUGGCCGAACACUUUAUGCUUUGGUCGACACCGGCGCAUCCAACAUGUUCAUGUCAACCGAGGUUGCAAAGGCUUUGGGACUUCACGUGGAACCAUCCGGGAAGUCAUACAAGCCCAUCAAUUCGGGCGACUUCCCUGGCGUAGGAGCAACACCCGACGUGGACGUCAAGAUUGGCGGAUGGAAGGGCAAGAUGGCGUUCGAGGUAAUCCCUCUUGACGAUUACGAUCUCAUUCUUGGCAUGCAAUUCUUUGAAAGUGUGGGAGCGAUGAUCGACAUGAGGACCAAGUGCAUGAUGAUCCUCGACCAAAAGUGUCUGUCGAUGAUCCCCAUGAUCAAGGGGGUGGUCAACACCAAGACCAUCGCGUCAAUCCGACGCCUCGACAAGAGCUUGAAGAACGUGAUGCGCAUCAACAAGCUGUCCGAGGUGAAGCCAAAAGGUCAAGUUGGAUCCUACUCCAACACCACGCCCAUGCCCAUCCCAGCCGCUCUUCCCGAAGUUGAGUGCUCACCGCAUGCCACGCUAAGCCAAAGGGGGAGCCGCGUGCCCAAGUCCGACUUCAUCAUAGAAGGUUGCGGCCCUUUGUUCGUGAGCAUCCGAGCGAAGCAAAAGAAGAACCAGAGAGCCCGUGCCAAAGCCCAUGCUCGUGCCAAGAAGGUUGACCGACAAGCUGUGAGCGACGAGGGCGUUGCUCAAAUGAGUGAGGGAGAAUGUCAUGGCCUGAAAGAAAGCCGACCCGAGAGGUUCUCGAAGGGCGAUCACGACUCACCCGUGGACCUCCUGCUCUCACUCGGAUUCCCACCAAGCCUACUCCCCAAAGUUUCCAAGGGUGGGCGACAUUGCCAUUUCGCAUGAUUCUAGAAGUUUCUCUUUCAUUAAUGUCAGUAGACGGUAGUUGAAUACUUAUAUCGGUAGCUGAGGCGAUGCGAUCUCGCCCGUCGGAUGAAAAGUAGAUCAAUGGAUGUAAUCCGAGGCCCUCAACUAUAAAAUGGGUGUCCUCCCUCAUUUGUAAUUAUCCAAUCCAUUUCAAAAAUAUCAAAGCUUUCCUUUCCUUCUCAGAGCUCCUCUCUCUAACUUUCUCUCUCGACGAUCCAGGUAAGCGAGCGGGUAGGCGUUCGAUCGAGAUAAAUAUUCAACUACCGUCUACCGACAUUNNNNNNNNNNNNNNNNNNNNNNNNNNNNNNNNNNNNNNNNNNNNNNNNNNNNNNNNNNNNNNNNNNNNNNNNNNNNNNNNNNNNNNNNNNNNNNNNNNNNGGGGAGUAGGCUUGGUGGUAAUCCGAGUGAGAGCAGGAGGUCCACGGGUGAGUCGUGAUCACCCUUCGAGAACCUCUCAGGUCAGCUUUCUUUCGGGCCGUGACAUGUGUAUGAUAGAACUACAGAGGAGAAAGAUCCAGAAAAGAAAAGGAAAUAGGGGGGAAUUCCCUCAACUAAAAAUAAACUUUAAUCUCUUCUCUUUUUUGUAAAAGCAAUUUUUGUAAUUCUUUUGAUUUUCCGAUAUUUUCUAUUUUUCCUUUUCUUUUCUCUCUUCUCUUUUCAUUUUUCCCUUUUCCCUUUGCCAACCAUCCAUGAGGCCUAUGCAUGAAUACAAAUAGUUUGUGAUUAGAGACUUGCAUAUUUAUAUUGUAGUCAAGAUUGAAAUUUGAUUUGACUAUAUAUAUAUAUAUAUAUUAUUUAUUUAUUUAUUUAUUUAUAGAUUGCCCUUUCCAACCAAAACCAAAAACACUCAAAUCAAAUAUGUAACNNNNNNNNNNNNNNNNNNNNNNNNNNNNNNNNNNNNNNNNNNNNNNNNNNNNNNNNNNNNNNNNNNNNNNNNNNNNNNNNNNNNNNNNNNNNNNNNNNNNAUAAACUUUAAUCUCUUCUCUUUUUUGUAAAAGCAAUUUUUGUAAUUCUUUUGAUUUUCCGAUAUUUUCUAUUUUUCCUUUUCUUUUCUCUCUUCUCUUUUCAUUUUUCCCUUUUUCCCUUUGCCAACCAUCCAUGAGGCCUAUGCAUGAAUACAAAUAGUUCAUGAUUAGAGACUUGCAUAUUUAUAUUGUAGUCAAGAUUGAAAUUUGAUUUGACUAUAUAUAUAUAUAUAUAUUAUUUAUUUAUUUAUUUAUUUAUUUAUAGAUUGCCCUUUCCAACCAAAACCAAAAACACUCAAAUCAAAUAUGUAACUUCCAAAGCUUUAAGAAACAUCCUAUAAGUAGAUUAUUGACAUGUUUUCAAAUAGUUUAAGAAUCACAUGAUAUCAGGAACGUAGGUUAAGGGUUUGUGUUGUGGUGCUAUACUCUCAAUAAUCAAAGAUCAUUCUAACUCGCUAGACUCCGACCAAUCUCAUAGCAUCACAUUCAUAAGUACCUAUGUAGAGAGAUAUUAGGGAACAAAGUCGCUUGAGAGAGAGAGAGAGAGAGAGAGAGAGAGAGAGAGAGAGAAUCGGGAGAGUGAUUUACACGUAUGGAAACUUAGUCAUAAAAUCGAAUAAUUAUUUUUUUUCCAUGCUAGUUCAAGAAAAUGAGCAUAAAAUAGUGGAUUCAGAUCAGAAUGACCUGAUUCCAAAGCAAAAGAAUGGAGACUCAAAGAAUCACAAAUUUUGUGUUUUCAGUUUCCUCAACUAAGCACUGUAGGCUUGUCGAUAUUUUAUGAAAGUGGGCUAAACAGUGGUGGACAAAAUGAAAAAAAAAGAUAUAGGAACUUCAAUGGUUGCUUUUUUAGGCCCCCGAGGAAGUUGAAAUAGCAUCAAUUCUUCGAGAUUGAUGGUUGCAACUCUUCAAAGAUACAGGCUUUAAAAGCCCUAACUCUUCAAGGACAGAGUGGAAACUCUUCUAGGUUUUCAAGGGAUUUGAACUUUUUAAGGUUCCAGAGAGUUACACUAAGCAAAUUUCAUUAAUGAAAUUCAGUCUAUAAUUUAUAGAGACUCAUUGACCUUUUAUAUCAAAACAAAAGAAGAGUAAGAGGCUAGACUCAAACAUAGAAACUAAUAGUCAUUAAUGUAUGUAGAAACUAGAAGCUAUUAAAAUUGAAACAAUAUUUACCAAUGAUUUUGCUCGCCCCAAAGUGCCUUGAUGCAAGUUUUAGUGUUUGAGAAAUGACAAAAUCUUUAUGACAAAACAGAGUGUCAUUGAUAUCGAAUGCACGCUAAUCUUCUUGGUUGAACAAGUUGGUCUUGAAUAUUGGCUACAUCAAAGAGUGAGAGAGAGAGAGAGAAAGGAGCUAUUUCCCUCCAAUGAUGAUAAUUUUAUUGACAACUUCUAUAUGAUGUAAGAGAUAUAACUUUUGUGGAAUUAAAGACACUUUAUUGAACCUUUUUUAGGACAUAUAAUGGGUCAGCCAUCAUAUAUUGUUGGGAAAAGUGUUAAAAAAAGUCUUAAACCUUUUGUAUUUGUGUCAAUUUAUUCCUAAACCUUUUUUGGUGCCAAUUUAGUCCUAAACCUUUUUAUUUUAGUGCCGAUUCGGUCAUUUCCGACCAAUUUUCACUGGAUUUUCCUGACUAGACGCCAACUAGCUGACAUGGCCUCAUCGAUGCUGACGUUGACAACUUUUAAUAAUAUUUUAAUAUUUUUCUUUCUUUUUUUUCUUUUUUCUUUCCCCUCCUCCAGCCAGUCACCGAACCUCGGCGACCGGCUAGAGGCAACGGUCAGCGAGGUCAACCUCAAUAGCCACCUUCCCAAAUCAGGCAAGGGUGGAGCCUCACUGGCCAUGGAGUCAAGCCUCGCCCAUGGCCAAUGAGGCCUGAUCUCGCCAGCACCGCCCAAAUCCGGCGAGGGUGUGUCUCGCCAGCACCGCCCAGGCCGCGAUACCUCACCAGCUCGACAUCAGGUCACAAGAUCUGGCGAGGUCCGGUGAGGUCGACCUCACCGGUCGUCGCCUUUGGCCAUUCGCCAAGGUCUUGCGACCGGCUAGAGGAGGGGAAGGAAAAAAGAAAAAUAAAAGAAAAAUAAGAAUAAAUUAUUCAAAAAUAUUCAAAAAUAUUAAAAUAUUAUUAAAAGUUGUCCACGUCAGCACUGAUUAGGCCACGUUGGCCAGCCGGUGUUCAAUUAAUAAAAUCCAGCCAAAAUUGGCCGAAAAGACUGAAUCGGCACUAAGUAAAAAAGUUUAGGACUAAAUUGGCACAAAUACAAAAGGUUUAUGACUUUUUAAACGCUUUUCCUUAUAUCACUUCAUCUGGGACAAUAUAGAUUAUUAAUAAUGUCAUUUUGUGAGUUCAUUUCAAACUGAAUUGCAGUUAAUUGACUCAGCCAUAUUUGAAAGAACUAACUUGGAAAAAAUCACGAAAAUGGACGUGUCCUCAUCGGAGGACUCAAAGCAGCAAUUCUAAGAAACUCUUAUAUACUUUUAUGUCAUGUACUGCUUUUUUACGUACUUUUUGAAUUAUAAUUAUAUAUAACAUUGCGAUCAAGUGAUUUUUUUUGAAUUUGACGCCAUCGCGUUUUAGUUAAUUGACAAUGACUGACCGGGUGUGGAUCCAUCGUAUGCGGAGACUGUGUGCUAAUGGGUGAAAAUAAUAUUAAAUAUAAUCAUUGUACCUAAAACAAUAUGUGGAAAUGUAAACGCAAGAAAUCAGAUCAUCAGAACAACCAAGAUACAACCUGUACAAGACAAAGCCCGAACCCAUGCUCAUCCUCUCAGGGAAGCAUUCACAAGCAGCAGAAUUCAAGAUUCAAGAACCACCCUCCGCAAAUGUACAGCGUGUCAGCGACUAUUGAAGGCAGUCUCUAAGGAAAUAAAAUUACAUAAACAAGACAGAUAGCAGCAAAAAGAGAUGGAGAUCCUCCAUGGUUUAGAAGUGAUGGUGGUGCUUCUUGCCAUGAUGAGACUCUUUAUAUUUUUUCUUGGCCUCCUUCCUCUCGUGGUGCUCGUGGGUGGCAAACCCGACAGCCCCGACGGCAGCGGCGGCAGCUAUUUCCUCCUUUAUCUUGUGCCGGUGAGCGUGCUCCGGGUCCUUCUUGGCCUUAUGCUUCUCAUGCUGCAUUUUGCACAUUAUUAAUCAGCAAUGGCGUUCACGAAACAAAAUGAGUUAAGGUAAAGAGGAAAGGAGCAAAAAAAAAAAAAAAAAAUCUCUAUUAUGUAUACUUUGUUUAAUACAAGCUCUAAGCAUGGGAUAAGUUCGAGAAAAAAGAAAUUAAUUUAUUCACCUUGAAAAGAAGUAUUUGAUCAGGUAAAUAGUGCUAUGGAUUACAAUUAUGUUUUUUGUUAUUGUAGGGAAAUCUUACUCCUCUAGCUGUUGGGUGAAGGAAAUCAAUUAAAUUCAAACUAUUGUUCAUUUAUAAGGAUGAUCCAUUCUCACAUGGCAUGCCAUUAUCAUGUCGAGUUGAAAUAUGUGACUUUAAUCGAGAUCUUUUGCAUUCAAUGCUCGUUAAUAACCCGAUGAUUCAGGUCAAUAAGGUGAAAACACAAAUUUUAUCUAAAUUAUAAAAUGCGAAAAGAAUUGAAAAGAAUAUGAUAAUUAUUACCAAGGCAUAAGCACCGGCAGCAGCGGCACCGAGCUCGCCGAGCUGCUGGAGGUGCUUGUGGUGCUUCUCCUCCUUCCUGUAAUCGACCGUAGGCUCCGUGAAGA